Cotesia glomerata is the source of this 936-nucleotide long non-coding RNA. RefSeq lists it as uncharacterized. The transcript is spliced from 3 exons. NCBI's taxonomy places the organism in Eukaryota, Metazoa, Arthropoda, Insecta, Hymenoptera, Braconidae. The record is from RefSeq and is a predicted model, not a curated record.
GUAAAAUAUCAAAAAACGGAUUCAAAAUUAUUUUCUUCCGCUAUAAAAAAAAUUUUCCAUGAAUUGUAGGGCCAGUUCCAGCGUCCAACAGUUGAAAACAAGAAAAAUAUUUCUCCAGAGGGAUGUAAAUGCAUAAAUUUACAAGUAAUUGUUGAGAAAAUACGUAAAUCUAGUAGCAUUGGACCACCGUUUCCUUUGGCGGAGUCUAGUAUAGCACAUAUAGGAGAAUGAUGAAACGUUGAUAUAUUUCCAUUUUGCCCGAGUGUAUUAUAUACCUGCACUUUCCGGAAGCAGGCUCCUUGUUCAAAUGACUCUCUUGGGUGGCUUUAAAGAACCGUGAAGGAUCAGACGACCUCAGACGACUACCAGCUGCUUCUUACUAUUACGCCGUUCCUCUACCGGUACUGCUGGCCCUUUAAACUUUUAAAGGGCUCUGGAGAGUCCAAAAAUAUAUGCUACGCCCAGAACGAAAAAAUUUUUAACUGGAAGAAUUUUUUCCGCGAAUUUAAGCAUCAGACUUUAAACAGAUGGCUGAGGAUAGUGAACUGAGCAUGACUAAACCUCGAGGAAUUUUUAAAGACUCAUUCUGUAAAGAUUGCAUAAUGAUUGCAAGUUGCUAAUUAUUAUUCAAAAAAAGAAGGUUCUAAUUUUUUUGAAUGUAUAAUUUUAUUGAUCAAUAAUAUUAUCUUUGAUGAAACAAAAUAUACAUAUGUUAAUGGAAGAACCUAAUUUUUUUUAUAAAUAAAAAAAUUAUUUUAUUAAUAAAUUAUUUCGUACUUGUAAAUUAAAACUCUGAGCAAACUAUAAUAAAAUCGUACAUAAAAUUAUUGUGGCCUAUAAAAUUGUCUAUAAAAAGCGACACGAGGGUCAUAAGCCCGGUGCUGUUUAAGAGAAGGAGAAUGUUAAAAAUCAAUUAUUUCCUUUUUUUAAUUAUAA